This 492-nucleotide ribosomal RNA is filed under the name uncultured bacterium. RNAcentral describes it as "bacterial SSU rRNA". It matches the Rfam family "Bacterial small subunit ribosomal RNA", at positions 903 to 1397 of the family's 1533-position model. The record is from RNAcentral.
AAAGGAAUUGACGGGGGCCCGCACAAGCGGUGGAGCAUGUGGUUUAAUUCGAUGAUACGCGAGGAACCUUACCAGGGCUUAAAUGUAGUCUGACAGCCCCAGAGACGGGGUUUUCUUCGGACAGAUUACAAGGUGCUGCAUGGUUGUCGUCAGCUCGUGCCGUGAGGUGUCAGGUUAAGUCCUAUAACGAGCGCAACCCCUGCCGUUAGUUGCCAGCAUGUAAAGAUGGGGACUCUAACGGGACUGCCGGUGCAAACCGCGAGGAAGGUGGGGACGACGUCAAAUCAUCACGGCCCUUACGUCCUGGGCCACACACGUGCUACAAUGGCCGGUACAGAGAGCUGCCACGCCGCAAGGCGGAGCGAAUCUAUAAAACCGGUCACAGUUCGGAUCGGGGUCUGCAACCCGACCCCGUGAAGCUGGAAUCGCUAGUAAUCGGAUAUCAGCCAUGAUCCGGUGAAUACGUUCCCGGGCCUUGUACACACCGCCCGU